RNAcentral lists this transfer RNA (64 nucleotides) under Paphia amabilis (short-necked clam). Its description in RNAcentral is "tRNA-Ala". Lineage: Eukaryota; Metazoa; Mollusca; Bivalvia; Venerida; Veneridae. The record is from RNAcentral.
GAAUUAGUACUUUAAGUAAAAGGUCAGGCUUGCAUCUUGAAAUUGGCACAUUUGCCCUAAUUCG